RNAcentral lists this ribosomal RNA (1333 nucleotides) under uncultured bacterium. RNAcentral's name for it is "bacterial SSU rRNA". It matches the Rfam family "Bacterial small subunit ribosomal RNA", at positions 45 to 1400 of the family's 1533-position model. The record is from RNAcentral.
UGCCUAACACAUGCAAGUCGAACGAGGUAGCAAUACCUAGUGGCGGACGGGUGAGUAACACGUGGGAAUCUGCCUUCAGAUGGGGGAUAGCAGGCCGAAAGGCCUAUUAAUACCGCAUAUGUGUGCAUCUCGACAGGGGUGCACAUGAAAGGAGCAAUCCGUCUGAAGAUGAGCCCGCGCCCGAUUAGCUAGUUGGUAGGGUAAAGGCCUACCAAGGCUUCGAUCGGUAGCUGGUCUGAGAGGAUGAUCAGCCACAAUGGGACUGAGACACGGCCCAUACUCCUACGGGAGGCAGCAGUGGGGAAUUUUGUGCAAUGGGGGAAACCCUGACACAGCGACACCGCGUGAGCGAAGAAGCCCUUUGGGGUGUAAAGCUCUGUCAGCAGGAACGAAAAAAAUGACGGUACCUGCAGAGGAAGCAUCGGCUAACUACGUGCCAGCAGCCGCGGUAAGACGUAGGAUGCAAGCGUUGUCCGGAUUUAUUGGGCGUAAAGAGUUCGUAGGUGGUUUGUUAAGUCUGAUGUUAAAGAUCGGGGCUCAACCCCGGGAGUGCAUUGGAUACUGGCAGACUGGAGUGUAGUAGAGGCAAGCGGAAUUCCAGGUGUAGCGGUGAAAUGCGUAGAUAUCUGGAAGAACACCAGUGGCGUAAGCGGCUUGCUGGGCUAUAACUGACACUGAGGAACGAAAGCCAGGGGAGCGAAUGGGAUUAGAUACCCCAGUAGUCCUGGCCGUAAACGAUGGAUACUAGGCGUAGCGGGUAUCGACCCCUGCUGUGCCGCAGCAAACGCGAUAAGUAUCCCGCCUGAGUAGUACGGCCGCAAGGUUGAAACUCAAAGGAAUUGACGGGGGCCCGCACAAGCGGUGGAACAUGUGGUUUAAUUCGAAGCAACGCGAAGAACCUUACCAGGGCUUGACAUCUGUAGAAUCUCCCGGAAACGGGGGAGUGCUCGCAAGAGAGCUACAAGACAGGUGGUGCAUGGCUGUCGUCAGCUCGUGUCGUGAGAUGUUGGGUUAAGUCCCGCAACGAGCGCAACCCUUGUCCCUAGUUGCCAGCGAGUGAAGUCGGGAACUCUAGGGAGACUGCCGGUGACAAACCGGAGGAAGGUGGGGAUGACGUCAAGUCAUCAUGGCCCUUACGGCCAGGGCUACACACGUACUACAAUGGUGGGUACAGAGGGUUGCAAGGCCGCGAGGCGGAGCCAAUCCCAGAAAACCCAUCUCAGUCCGGAUCGGAGUCUGCAACUCGACUCCGUGAAGUCGGAAUCGCUAGUAAUCGCGAAUCAGCAUUGUCGCGGUGAAUACGUUCCCGGGCCUUGUACACACCGCCCGUCAC